AAAAAUGUUACAUGCACCUCUUCUUUCAUACUACUAUAUAGAUGAAUAAAGGGAAUAAUGGGUUCAAGUGUGAGUGAUUUAUCUCACAUCGAUUAUGAAUGAAUAGUUGGUUCAUAUUCUUAAUAUUGUAAAGGCUUGAAUCAAAAUAAUAUCAAGCUCUCUUGUUGAUCUGAAUAGAUGUUGCUCUUAGAACUCCUUCGAAUUCUUCAACAAGUGGUAUAUGUCUUGGUUCAACUUUGUGGAGGAAUAGGAGUGGAUCCUAGAAUUUUGGAUCCUUGUUUUGAGAGUCUUCUCGAGGGUAAAGUACAAAGACAUGUUCUAUUUGUUGCAAGUAUGGAAUGUAGAAGACUCAUAUUUGAGGAAGAGAUUGUUAGAUUGAAGUAAAUAUAUAAGAGAGACGACUUAUACAAUCAAUAUCUUAAGAUUUUUGAUAGACAUAUGAUGUAAAUAUUAAAUGUAUAAAAAAAGACGAUUCAUAUUAUCAAUAUAUUAAAGUUUUGGUUGGUUC
This 508-nucleotide long non-coding RNA is filed under the name Medicago truncatula (barrel medic). RNAcentral describes it as "lncRNA gene5642". The record is from RNAcentral. Lineage: Eukaryota; Viridiplantae; Streptophyta; Magnoliopsida; Fabales; Fabaceae.